GAUGAACGCUGGCGGCGUGCCUAAUACAUGCGAGUCGAGCGAACGGACGAGAAGCUUGCUUCUCUGAUGUUAGCGGCGGACGGGUGAGUAACACGUGGAUAACCUACCUAUAAGACUGGGAUAACUUCGGGAAACCGGAGCUAAUACCGGAUAAUAUUUUGAACCGCAUGGUUCAAAAGUGAAAGACGGUCUUGCUGUCACUUAUAGAUGGAUCCGCGCUGCAUUAGCUAGUUGGUAAGGUAACGGCUUACCAAGGCAACGAUGCAUAGCCGACCUGAGAGGGUGAUCGCCCACACUGGAACUGAGACACGGUCCAGACUCCUACUGUAGGCAGCAGUAGGGAAUCUUGCGCGAUGUGCGAAUGCCUGACGGAACAGUGUCGCUUUAGUGAUGAAGGUCUUCGGAUCGUAAAACUCUGUUUUUAUGGAAGAAAAUAUGUGUAAUAAACUUACCACAACUUGACGGUGCCUAAUCAGAAAGCCACGGCUAACUACGUG
This 497-nucleotide ribosomal RNA is filed under the name uncultured bacterium. RNAcentral's name for it is "partial 16S ribosomal RNA". It matches the Rfam family "Bacterial small subunit ribosomal RNA", at positions 28 to 507 of the family's 1533-position model. The record is from RNAcentral.